RNAcentral lists this ribosomal RNA (1137 nucleotides) under Triticum aestivum (bread wheat). Its description in RNAcentral is "partial small subunit ribosomal RNA". Lineage: Eukaryota; Viridiplantae; Streptophyta; Magnoliopsida; Poales; Poaceae. The record is from RNAcentral.
AUGCAUGAUCUAGAGGGAUUUUUCUGCAAAACUGUGUUCUCCGGAAUAAUAGAUAAAUUCGUUCAGGGAAAAAUAUGUCCUGGGCCGAAACAGAGGUUGGCCCGACAGGGGGAAGGGAAAAAAAGAGGGGCGCUGGAUCUGGCCUCACCAUGGGCCUUGGGCCGUUCGGUGAAGAGGUGGGAGCUGCAAAAGCGAGGCGAGGCCGGUUGGGCUGCGAUCUGGCACGGGAGGAGGCACGCUGGGCCGGCCGGCCUUGUUUCAAUCGGGGAAGGGUCAACGCACAGCGACCCACGUACGGCAGUGGUCGUCUCGUCUCAUCCCGCACGAAGCAGAGGUACGGCGAGGCGGGUCUUGAGCGGCCGGAGGCCGGAAAUGGCAGCGCGGCGACGGGAUCCUGCUAUCCACGGGAGAGAGAGCCAUGAGAGGAGGAGGAAAAACAAAAUGGGGAGAAGGAAGGAGAGGGACGCCAGGCACUGGCCUGGAUCGGGGCAACGCUGCGAGGGCCAACGACGAAGACAGCGGGGCGGAGCAGUGGCUUGCGGGGGCUCCGGGCAGGCGAAGCAGAGGCUGGACAGGCACUACGUGAUGGGGCUUGGGCGCAACUCGGGCGGCGCAGUGCUCUCCGGCGAGGGUAGCAAGAUGGCGGCGUUGACGGCGAACUGCGGUCGUCGGGAUCCGAGGCGGCGGGGACUGGCGCAUGGCGCUCGAUCGGCAGCAGCGGAUGUACUCCUGUGGGCAUGUACAUGUAAUCGAGAGAGUUUCAGAGAGGAGAGAUACAGAGAAGAAAACGAGAAAAACGGAGGGAAGAGCAGGCGCAGUUGGCUGGCCGGAGCUUUGCCAGAGACGUCCGGGCACGGCUGCGCUGGAUCUGCUGCUGCUUGCGGCACGGGGACGAGGAGGAGGGAGCUCGGUCUCGCUCGAGAGCUCGGGGCUAGUGGUGGCCUCGAUCCCCUCCAGGAUCGAGCAGAGAAGUGGCUGGAAUCGAGGAGAGGUGGGGAUGCACUGGUUGGCGAGCGAUGCUUGGGGAGGGAUGGAUCCCGAUGGGGAUUUGGUGGAGUGGCGGCGCGGCUGGGAGGAUGGGACAGGUCCCUAGAUUUUAGGGUUGUCCAAACUUAUAUUGCAAUAAGAUUAGGGUAG